Molecule: ribosomal RNA, 206 nt
Filed under: uncultured bacterium
Lineage: Bacteria
Description: partial 16S ribosomal RNA
Rfam family: Bacterial small subunit ribosomal RNA
Source: RNAcentral
UGCGUAGGUGGUAUGGCAAGUCAGAAGUGAAAACCCAGGGCUUAACUCUGGGACUGCUUUUGAAACUGUCAGACUGGAGUGCAGGAGAGGUAAGCGGAAUUCCUAGUGUAGCGGUGAAAUGCGUAGAUAUUAGGAGGAACAUCAGUGGCGAAGGCGGCUUACUGGACUGAAACUGACACUGAGGCACGAAAGCGUGGGAGCAAACA